ACGGGGUACUUAGGUACCUAGUGGCGGACGGGUGAGUAACGCGUGAGAAUCUGGCCUCAGGCCCGGGACAACCACUGGAAACGGUGGCUAAUACCGGAUGUGCCAUUAGGUGAAAGAUUAAUUGCCUGAGGAUGAGCUCGCGUCUGAUUAGCUAGUUGGUGGGGUAAGAGCCUACCAAGGCUGCGAUCAGUAACUGGUCUGAGAGGAUGACCAGUCACACUGGGACUGAGACACGGCCCAGACUCCUACGGGAGGCAGCAGUGGGGAAUUUUCCGCAAUGGGCGAAAGCCUGACGGAGCAAUACCGCGUGAGGGAGGAAGGCUCUUGGGUUGUAAACCUCUUUUCUCAGGGAAGAAUACUGACGGUACCUGAGGAAUCAGCAUCGGCUAACUCCGUGCCAGCAGCCGCGGUAAUACGGAGGAUGCAAGCGUUAUCCGGAAUUAUUGGGCGUAAAGCGUCUGUAGGUGGACAUUCAAGUCUGCUGUCAAAGACCGGGGCUCAACCCUGGAAAGGCGGUGGAAACUGAAAGUCUAGAGUGCGGUAGGGGCAGAGGGAAUUCCCAGUGUAGCGGUGAAAUGCGUAGAGAUUGGGAAGAACACCGGUGGCGAAAGCGCUCUGCUAGGCCAAAACUGACACUGAGGGACGAAAGCUAGGGGAGCGAAUGGGAUUAGAUAC
This 675-nucleotide ribosomal RNA is filed under the name uncultured cyanobacterium. Its description in RNAcentral is "bacterial SSU rRNA". It matches the Rfam family "Bacterial small subunit ribosomal RNA", at positions 66 to 785 of the family's 1533-position model. Lineage: Bacteria; Bacillati; Cyanobacteriota. The record is from RNAcentral.